Molecule: ribosomal RNA, 169 nt
Filed under: Fusigobius duospilus (barenape goby)
Lineage: Eukaryota; Metazoa; Chordata; Actinopteri; Gobiiformes; Gobiidae
Description: partial 12S rRNA
Source: RNAcentral
CACCGCGGUUACACCAGCGGGCCCAAAUUGACAGUUAUCGGCGUAAAGUGUGGCCAGUAGAUACCCAAAACUAAAGCCAAACACUCUCCAAGCUGUCGCACGCACUAGAGAAGAGGAAGCCCCCUGACGAAAGUAGCUUUAAUUUCUAUGACCCACGUAAGCUAAGACA